AUCACGGAGAGUUUGAUCCUGGCUCAGAACGAACGCUGGCGGCGUGUCUUAAGCAUGCAAGUCGAACGAGAACCAUGGUGCUUCAGCUUGCUGAAGCGCCGGGGGACAGUGGCGAACGGGUGAGUAACACGUAGGUGAUCUGCCCCGAAGUGUGGGAUAGCCUAUGGAAACAUAGGGUAAUACCUCAUGUGAUCCGAGGAUUGGAUGCCUCGGAUGAAAGGCGCAAUUGUGUCGCUUUGGGAUGAGCCUGCGGUCCAUUAGUUAGUUGGUGAGGUAAUAGCUCACCAAGGCGAUGAUGGAUAGCCGGCCUGAGAGGGUGAACGGUCACACUGGGACUGAGACACGGCCCAGACUCCUACGGGAGGCAGCAGCUAAGAAUAGUCCGCAAUGGGGGAAACCCUGACGGUGCGACGCCGCGUGGGUGAUGAAGGCCUGACGGUUGUAAAGCCCUUUUCUCAGCGAAGAAUAAGGUGAGGAGUGGAACGCCUCAUCGAUGACGUUAGUUGAGGAAGAAGCCCCGGCCAAUUACGUGCCAGCAGCCGCGGUAACACGUAAGGGGCGAGCGUUGUUCGGAAUUAUUGGGCGUAAAGGGCGCGUAGGCGGUGCAGCAAGCUUGGUGUAAAAGGCUCGGGCUCAACCCGAGGAAUGCGCUGGGAACUGCUGCGCUAGAGUCUUGGAGGGGAAGCUGGAACUCCUGGUGGAGGGGUGAAAUCUGUAGAUAUCAGGAAGAACACCGGUAGCGAAGGCGAGCUUCUGGCCAAAGACUGACGCUGAGGCGCGAAAGCGUGGGGAGCGAACAGGAUUAGAUACCCUGGUAG
Molecule: ribosomal RNA, 818 nt
Filed under: Spirochaetaceae bacterium
Lineage: Bacteria; Pseudomonadati; Spirochaetota; Spirochaetia; Spirochaetales; Spirochaetaceae
Description: bacterial SSU rRNA
Rfam family: Bacterial small subunit ribosomal RNA
Source: RNAcentral